Molecule: transfer RNA, 65 nt
Filed under: Rhabdoblatta sp. RHA
Lineage: Eukaryota; Metazoa; Arthropoda; Insecta; Blattodea; Blaberidae
Description: tRNA-Ile
Source: RNAcentral
AGUAAUGUGCCUGAUUAAAGGAUUAUCGUGAUAGGAUAAAUAAUGUAAUUAUAUUACCAUUACUA